GUCUGCACUUGUCGGGGAAGGGUGAGAACCCUCGAUUAAGGUUCGACUCGAGCGAAAGCGAGAGAAC
Molecule: small RNA, 67 nt
Filed under: Salmonella enterica subsp. enterica serovar Enteritidis
Lineage: Bacteria; Pseudomonadati; Pseudomonadota; Gammaproteobacteria; Enterobacterales; Enterobacteriaceae
Description: partial RtT sRNA
Rfam family: RtT RNA
About the family: This family represents a bacterial cis-regulatory element known as RtT RNA. The exact function of RtT is unknown although it is thought that it may be involved in changing the cellular response in relation to amino acid starvation.
Source: RNAcentral